Molecule: ribosomal RNA, 258 nt
Filed under: uncultured bacterium
Lineage: Bacteria
Description: partial 16S ribosomal RNA
Rfam family: Bacterial small subunit ribosomal RNA
Source: RNAcentral
UACGUAGGGUGCGAGCGUUGUCCGGAUUUAUUGGGCGUAAAGAGCUCGUAGGCGGUUCGUCGCGUCGGCUGUGAAAUCCCGGAGCUCAACUCCGGGUCUGCAGUCGAUACGGGCGGACUCGAGUUCGGCAGGGGAGACUGGAAUUCCUGGUGUAGCGGUGAAAUGACGCAGAUAUCAGGAGGGAACACCGGUGGCGAAGGCGGGUCUCUGGGGCCGAUACUGACGCUGAGGAGCGAAAAGCGUGGGGGAGCGAACAGG